Cercocebus atys (sooty mangabey) is the source of this 1301-nucleotide long non-coding RNA. RefSeq lists it as uncharacterized. The record is from RefSeq and is a predicted model, not a curated record. The transcript is spliced from 2 exons. Lineage: Eukaryota; Metazoa; Chordata; Mammalia; Primates; Cercopithecidae.
GUGACCAGAUGGGUAUAAAUGGGCUGUGGAAAAAGAGAAUUCAUGGCCAAAAAUGGUGGUGCUCUCUGUCCAAAAAUUAAGGCCCUAUGACCGUGAAUGAAGCUGGAGGACAGGUAGGAACAGAUCAUUUGUUCCAGGAGAAGCCAGAUGCCAUGUCUUGAGGACAGUCAACCCUCUGGGAAGGUUCCUAUGGUAAGGAACCAAGGCUCCUGGAAAUAGCUUCUGAGUGAGCCACCUUGAGAAUGGAUUGUCCAGCCCCAGUCAAACUUUCAGAGACGACUGUAGCCCCUGCCAAUGUCUUCACCACAACCUCAUGAGAUCCCAAGCUACAACCACUCAGUUAAGUUAUUCCAAAAUUCCUGACUCACAGAAAUUGAGAUACAGGAGAGGUCACAGUUAAGAUCUUGAUGUUCUAUCUUCACCCAUAAUAUAGGAGCUUCACCUUUUGAGAAGCACCAGUGAGAGCUAGCUGCCUGUGCCUGGUGGAAGCUGCCCAUGCCCCACUGAUACCCCACAGUACUUCCUGUUCUGCUCAGUACUCCUGCUUCUUUCUGCAAACAACUGUGAUUCUCCACCUGGGAGCUUCCUCUGGCCACAAGAGCCUGCUCACCUGAAUGGGACACCCCAGCAGUGCUGAUGAGUUACAGCUUCCAGGAGCAGCUCUCCUCCAGCAAAGGAAAAGGUUGGCAGAAAAGUACUUCAGCUGCCUUUGCUAGUGUGUGGGACAAUGUUAAGACAUGCUCCACACAGUAAUGCAGGGGUCCCAGCAAGAUGGAGCCCAAAUUGUCCACAAUAGUAACUUGCCAGUAGAUGCCUUCAUUGACUUUCUUCCCUGCUGUGCCUUUCUUCCCACUCUCCUGCCAGUGCUUCCUGGAAUCAUCUCCCUCAUCAAUCAUUUGUUCCAAAAUUCUGUCUGAGUCUGUUUCUGAGGAAACCCAACCUGAGUCAUCAUCCCUCUUCCCCCCCUCACACUUUCUUCACUGGGGGAGGAUGGAUUGAAUUGACUGGCAAAUUUUGGAGGAGUUUGCAUUGGAGUGCGUGACUCAGCUGAGGUUGGGCUGUGUUUUUUCAGAGAGAAGUACAUUCAGAUUCAAUGUGUAUCCUGUCUUCAGGAAGCCCCAUGCUCUGUUCAUCUUAGCAUGAUUACUAAGCUACACACUGCCCUUUCAAGGGGAAGGCCUGAGAUUUGCAGUUGGCAAGCUCAGUGGGAGUUGGAUGUUUUAUGUAACCUGAUUGUGGAUAUAGAUCAAUCCAUGCUUUUCAAUUCAGUCCUCUCUCUAAUAAACUGCUCUUAUGAGCCC